RNAcentral lists this ribosomal RNA (271 nucleotides) under uncultured archaeon. Its description in RNAcentral is "partial 16S ribosomal RNA". It matches the Rfam family "Archaeal small subunit ribosomal RNA", at positions 717 to 982 of the family's 1478-position model. The record is from RNAcentral.
ACACGACUACAUUAGACUACCCCGUAGUCCUAGGCGUAAAUGAUGCGAGUUAAGUGGUGGGGGCAUCUACGAGAUCGGCCCUGUGCUGGUAGGGUAGACCGUUAAACUCGCUGCCGUGGGAGUACGGUCGCAAGGCUAGAAAACGUUAAAGGAAUUGGCGGGGAGCACCACAAGAGGUGGAGGCUGCGGUUCAAUUGGACUCAACGCCGGGAAGCUCACCGGAUAAGACAGCGGAAUGAUUGCCGGGCUGAAGACCCUGCAUGACCAGCUG